RNAcentral lists this long non-coding RNA (408 nucleotides) under Trifolium pratense (red clover). Its description in RNAcentral is "long non-coding RNA (TPRA_LNC013318)". Lineage: Eukaryota; Viridiplantae; Streptophyta; Magnoliopsida; Fabales; Fabaceae. The record is from RNAcentral.
GAGUUGGAACUCUCUAUUCCAUUCUUCUUGUCCUCCAGGUAUUUUGGGCAGUUCCUCUUCCAAUGUCCAGUCUUGUUUCAGUGGAAGCACUUACCCUCAUUUGCAAUGCCACCAGUAGGCUUCAAAGCUUUAGGGUUAGGUUUGGGUUUGACAACUUCCUUGCCCUUCCCUUUUCCGCCCUUUCCUUUGUUGCCCUUGUGAUUCCCAUUGCCGAUCAAUAGAACUUGAUUCGACUUCCCUUUUGAUCUCAUGUUUUGUUCAGCUUGUCUCAACAUGUUUAAUAGUUGUGGUAGAGUUUUCUCCAUGUCUGACAUGGUGAAGUUCAGCACAAACUGAUUAAAGCUCGCCGGCAACGAUUGCAGGAUGAGAUCAGUUGCAAGCUCAUCACCGAGCGGAAAUCCCAAUUUU